GACGAACGCUGGCGGCGUGCUUAACACAUGCAAGUCGAACGGAAAGGCCCUGCUUGCAGGGUACUCGAGUGGCGAACGGGUGAGUAACACGUGGGUGAUCUGCCCUGCACUUCGGGAUAAGCCUGGGAAACUGGGUCUAAUACCGGAUAGGAGCCAUUUUUAGUGUGAUGGUUGGAAAGUUUUUUCGGUGUAGGAUGAGCUCGCGGCCUAUCAGCUUGUUGGUGGGGUAAUGGCCUACCAAGGCGGCGACGGGUAGCCGGCCUGAGAGGGUGGACGGCCACAUUGGGACUGAGAUACGGCCCAGACUCCUACGGGGGGCAGAAGUGGGGAAUAUUGCACAAUGGGCGCAAGCCUGAUGCAGCGACGCCGCGUGGGGGAUGACGGCCUUCGGGUUGUAAACGCCUUUCGCUAGGGACGAAGCUUUUUGUGACGGUACCUAGAUAAGAAGCACCGGCUAACUACGUG
This 465-nucleotide ribosomal RNA is filed under the name uncultured bacterium. RNAcentral describes it as "partial 16S ribosomal RNA". It matches the Rfam family "Bacterial small subunit ribosomal RNA", at positions 28 to 507 of the family's 1533-position model. The record is from RNAcentral.